This 472-nucleotide ribosomal RNA is filed under the name uncultured bacterium. Its description in RNAcentral is "bacterial SSU rRNA". It matches the Rfam family "Bacterial small subunit ribosomal RNA", at positions 28 to 494 of the family's 1533-position model. The record is from RNAcentral.
GAUGAACGCUAGCGGCAGGCUUAACACAUGCAAGUCGAGGGGCAGCACGGGUAGCAAUACCUGGUGGCGACCGGCGCAAGGGUGCGUAACGCGUGAGCAACAUGCCCUAUACAGGGGGAUAAUCCAGGGAAACUUGGUCUAAUAUCCCAUAGUAUUUAGAGGAGGCAUCUUCUAUAAAUUAAAGCUUCGGUGGUAUAGGAUUGGCUCGCGUGACAUUAGCUAGAUGGUGAGGUAACGGCUCACCAUGGCAAUGAUGUCUAGGGGUUCUGAGAGGAAGGCCCCCCACACUGGGACUGAGACACGGCCCAGACUCCUACGGGAGGCAGCAGUGAGGAAUAUUGGACAAUGGAUGGAAAUCUGAUCCAGCCAUGCCGCGUGCAGGAAGACAGCCCUAUGGGUUGUAAACUGCUUUUAUAUGGGAGCAAUAAGGUCUAACGUGUAGACUGAUGAGAGUACCAUAUGAAUAAGCAAC